GAACUAUUGGAAAAUUAGCAAAUUGUUUUAUUUAACAAAGCAAUAAUGUCCAAAUUUAUUGUCGUUUGUUUUCUACUGGCUUUUCUCGUCUACACCGGGAGUUGCACCUUUUUUCCGGACCAGAGCCGUAACAAUGACGGAGGUCGCGGUUCUACAACAGUUAGUGUGAAUCCUACGAAUAUUGCUGAUUCAAGAAGCGAAUCCUCUCCGGAUACUGAGCAACAAGUGAGAAGAUCGUCUUUCGGCUUUGGUCGAUGAAUUUCGGCAUUUUUAUAAAUACUUUGAAACUGUUGGCAGUUCAUCGAAUGUUAUCAAUUUAAACAUUAAAAAAUCUUGAUCUAUAACAAAA
Vanessa atalanta (red admiral) is the source of this 349-nucleotide long non-coding RNA. RefSeq lists it as uncharacterized. Lineage: Eukaryota; Metazoa; Arthropoda; Insecta; Lepidoptera; Nymphalidae. The transcript has 4 exons. The record is from RefSeq and is a predicted model, not a curated record.